RNAcentral lists this transfer RNA (75 nucleotides) under bacterium. RNAcentral's name for it is "tRNA-Arg". It matches the Rfam family "tRNA". From Rfam's summary of the family: Transfer RNA (tRNA) molecules are approximately 80 nucleotides in length. Their secondary structure includes four short double-helical elements and three loops (D, anti-codon, and T loops). Further hydrogen bonds mediate the characteristic L-shaped molecular structure. tRNAs have two regions of fundamental functional importance: the anti-codon, which is responsible for specific mRNA codon recognition, and the 3' end, to which the tRNAs corresponding amino acid is attached (by aminoacyl-tRNA synthetases). tRNAs cope with the degeneracy of the genetic code in two manners: having more than one tRNA (with a specific anti-codon) for a particular amino acid; and 'wobble' base-pairing, i.e. permitting non-standard base-pairing at the 3rd anti-codon position. The record is from RNAcentral.
GCGCCCGUAGUUCAGCCUGGAUAGAACGCAAGAUUGCGGAUCUUGAGGCCGCAGGUUCAAAUCCUGCCGGGCGCA